Molecule: ribosomal RNA, 228 nt
Filed under: uncultured bacterium
Lineage: Bacteria
Description: partial 16S ribosomal RNA
Rfam family: Bacterial small subunit ribosomal RNA
Source: RNAcentral
UACGGAGUGGCAGACGGGUGAGUAACACGUGGGAACGUGCCUUUUGGUUCGGAACAACUGAGGGAAACUUCAGCUAAUACCGGAUAAGCCCUUACGGGGAAAGAUUUAUCGCCAGAAGAUCGGCCCGCGUCUGAUUAGCUAGUUGGUGAGGUAACGGCUCACCAAGGCUACGAUCAGUAGCUGGUCUGAGAGGAUGAUCAGCCACACUGGGACUGAGACACGGCCCAG